ACAGAGGUGGCAAGCGUUGUUCGGAUUUACUGGGCGUAAAGGGUGCGUAGGUGGUUCCGUAUGUCGGGUGUGAAAGCCCACCGUUCAUCGGUGGAAUUGCAUUCGAAACUGCGGGACUAGAGUACGGUAGAGGAGAGCGGAAUUCAUGGUGUAGCGGUGAAAUGCGUGGUUAUCAGGAAGAACACCCGUGGCGAAAGCGGCUCUCUGGAACGGUACUGACGCUGAGACGCGAAAGCGUGGGGAGCGAACA
RNAcentral lists this ribosomal RNA (250 nucleotides) under uncultured bacterium. Its description in RNAcentral is "partial 16S ribosomal RNA". It matches the Rfam family "Bacterial small subunit ribosomal RNA", at positions 525 to 774 of the family's 1533-position model. The record is from RNAcentral.